RNAcentral lists this ribosomal RNA (253 nucleotides) under uncultured bacterium. RNAcentral describes it as "partial 16S ribosomal RNA". It matches the Rfam family "Bacterial small subunit ribosomal RNA", at positions 524 to 776 of the family's 1533-position model. The record is from RNAcentral.
UACGUAGGGUGCAAACGUUGUUCGGAAUCACUGGGCAUAAAGAGCGCGUAGGCGGUCUGACAAGUCCCCUGUGAAAGCCCCCGGCUUAACCGGGGAACUGCAUGGGAUACUGUUGGGCUAGAGUGCAGGAGGGGAGAGCGGAAUUCCUGGUGGAGCGGUGAAAUGCGUAGAUAUCAGGAGGAACGCCGGCGGCGAAAGCGACUCUCUGGCCUGUAACUGACGCUGAGGCGCGAAAGCUAGGGGAGCAAACGGG